RNAcentral lists this ribosomal RNA (514 nucleotides) under uncultured bacterium. Its description in RNAcentral is "partial 16S ribosomal RNA". It matches the Rfam family "Bacterial small subunit ribosomal RNA", at positions 28 to 523 of the family's 1533-position model. The record is from RNAcentral.
GACGAACGCUGGCGGCGUACCUAAUACGUGCAAGUCGAGCGGACUUUCAAGAAGCUUGCUUUUUGAAAGUUAGCGGCGGACGGGUGAGUAACACGUGGGCAACCUGCCUGUAAGACGGGGAUAACUCCGGGAAACCGGGGCUAAUACCGGAUAAUAUCUUUCUUCGCAUGAAGGAAGGUUGAAAGGCGGCGCAAGCUGCCGCUUGCAGAUGGGCCCGCGGCGCAUUAGCUAGUUGGUGAGGUAACGGCUCACCAAGGCGACGAUGCGUAGCCGACCUGAGGGGGUGAUCGGCCACACUGGGACUGAGACACGGCCCAGACUCCUACGGGAGGCAGCAGUGGGGAAUUUUGGACAAUGGGGGCAACCCUGAUCCAGCCAUUCCGCGUGAGUGAAGAAGGCCUUCGGGUUGUAAAGCUCUUUCGGCAGGAACGAAACGGCGAGCUCUAACAUAGCUUGCUAAUGACGGUACCUGAAGAAGAAGCACCGGCUAACUACGUGCCAGCCGCCGCCGUAA